AAAUUUGAGAGUUUGAUCCUGGCUCAGGAUGAACGCUGGCGGUGUGCCUUAGGCAUGCAAGUCGAACGGUAAACUCGCCUUCGGGCGAGAACGAGUGGCAGACGGGUGAGUAACACGUGAGAAUCUACCCUAUUGUGGGGAAUAGCUCCGCGAAAGCGGAGGUAAUACCGCAUACGGUCCCGAUUUAUCGGGAUUAAAGUCUUCGGACGCAAUAGGAGGAGCUUGCGCGCUAUCAGCUUGUUGGUGGGGUAAUGGCCUACCAAGGCGAUGACGGCUAGCCGGUGUGAGAGCACGACCGGCCACAAGGCUACUGAAACACGGAGCCUACACCUACGGGUGGCAGCAACCGGGAAUAUUGCGCAAUGGACGAAAGUCUGACGCAGCGACACCGCGUGUGGGAUGAAGCUCUUCGGAGUGUAAACCACUGUGGCGAGGGAUGAAUUUUGACAGUACCUCGCUAGAAAGCAUCAGCUAACUACGUGCCAGAAGCUUCGGUAAUACGUAGGAUGCAAGCGUUAUCCGGAUUCACUGGGCGUAAAGGGUCCGUCGGCGUCCCAAAAGGUCUUUUGUUUAAGCCUCCGGCUCAACUGGAGAUCAGCAAAAGAAACCAUUGGGAUUGAGUCUGUUCGAGGAAGCUAGAAUUCUUGGUGGAGGGGUGAAAUCCGUAGAUAUCAAGAGGAAUACCAUGCGCGAAGGCAAGCUUCUAGGACACGACUGACGCUCAGGGACGAAAGCUUGGGUAGCAAAGCGGAUUGAAUUUAAUUUGGUCCCCUUGAGUAGUAAUGCUCAAGGAAAAAUUGGCUAUAUCGGGGAACCUCCGUAUUUAAUAGAUCAUAAUAUUCUAGAAACAUUAUAUAAUGAUCAUAUGCGGACAAUCCCGAGGGAAGUUCAGAAAUCGUCCUAUAUAUAGGCGAAUUUGAACCCCGUAGAGACUAUAUGCCGAUCUCCUCGUACUAAUCGAGGAAGAUGAGAUAGUCCGAUCUGCAUAGCAAUAUGCAGAGUUUGCUAGAAAUGGCAAACCGCCCCGCCGUUGGCGUGGUAAGUAGUCCUAACUACACAGGACGAAAGUAACACAAUGUAGAGACCCGUGUAGUCCAAGCUGUAAACUAUGCUCGCUAGUUGCUCGCUCCGCUUUGCGGAGUGGGUGACGUAAGCUAACGCGUUAAGCGAGCCGCCUGGGGAGUACGACCGCAAGGUUAAAACUCAAAGGAAUUGGCGGGGGAGCGCACAACCGGUGGAGCAUGUGGUUUAAUUCGAUACAAAGCGAAAAACCUUACCCGGACUUGACAUGUACCUGCACGGUCUUGGAAACAAGAUCUUCUUCGAGAGUGGUACACAGGUGAUGCAUGGCUAUUUGAAAAAGAUGGCCGUCUGAAAGGCAACUUUCAGAGAAAAAUACUAACCCAAAACGGUGAAGCCCUAAUUGAUUUCGGAUUUCUUUCGCCUUAUACUGAAAUCAAUGGGUAAUACCGUGGGAAGCAAGGACUCUUUUUAGUUUUCUAAAAAUUAUAUUUUUAGUUAGUUAUUAAUAGUUGGAGUGUAAAUAUUAACCAAUUGGCUUUAAUUAAAACUUCGUGUUGAACCUUAAAGAGUUAUUCAGAAAUUAAAUUCUGUUAAACUUGCCCCGUAGAGACUGAUUUCUAGCCCUGAACUUAACAUGGUUUGG
This 1666-nucleotide ribosomal RNA is filed under the name Patescibacteria group bacterium. RNAcentral describes it as "bacterial SSU rRNA". It matches the Rfam family "Bacterial small subunit ribosomal RNA", at positions 1 to 1335 of the family's 1533-position model. The record is from RNAcentral.